Molecule: ribosomal RNA, 348 nt
Filed under: Chiasmoneura anthracina
Lineage: Eukaryota; Metazoa; Arthropoda; Insecta; Diptera; Keroplatidae
Description: partial 16S ribosomal RNA
Source: RNAcentral
UUUUUUAAUUGAAAACUUGUAUGAAUGGUUGAAUGAAAUAUUAACUGUCUCAUAAAAAUUAUUAUUAAAAUUUUAUUUUUUAGUUAAAAAACUAAAAUAAAUUUAAAAGACGAGAAGACCCUAUAGAGUUUUAUAAUUUUUUUAAAUAUAUUAUUUAUUAAAAUUAUUAUUUGAUUUAUUUAAUAAAUUAUUUUGUUGGGGAGAUAAUAAAAUUUAAUAAACUUUUAUAUUAUUAAUAUAACAUAAAUUAAUGAAUAAUUGAUCCUUUAUUAAUGAUUAAAAAUUUAAAUUACCUUAGGGAUAACAGCAUAAUUUUUUUUUGAAGAUCUAAUUUAAAAAAUAGAUUGU